GUGUCUCCAAACGGUUCUCCCUCUUUCUCUCUUUUGCUUUAUCACCCUCUCUGCAUCAAAUCAAAAGACAAACAAAAGCAAGGGAUCAAUUUACUCCGUUACAUUUUCUCCAUUUGCUCAUUCAUAUACACACAUAUAUUUAUAGAUACAGUCAUAUAUACCGAGUUCCUUUUUUCCUUUGAGUCAAGAGGAAUAUAUACCAAAACCCCCAUUGAAGCGAUUUGAUAAAAUUGUUACCUUUUAGUGUUAGGGUUUGUAAUUUGUAAAUCCAAUGGCCCAGGAGUCAUUGCAGAAAUGUUAUUAUGAUGAUGAUAAUUCAUCAGAAGUCUCAGUUUAUUUAGAUACAAAAAUAGCUGCAGAAGAUGAUGGUAAAGUUAAUGACAAUGACAACGGAUUGGGGGGCAGGAACACUUCAAAUCCUUCAGG
This 426-nucleotide long non-coding RNA is filed under the name Panax ginseng (ginseng). Its description in RNAcentral is "long non-coding RNA (PGIN_LNC014078)". The record is from RNAcentral. Lineage: Eukaryota; Viridiplantae; Streptophyta; Magnoliopsida; Apiales; Araliaceae.